GUAGGUGGCAAGCGUUGUCCGGAAUUAUUGGGCGUAAAGCGCGCGCAGGCGGUUCUUUAAGUCUGAUGUGAAAGCCCACGGCUCAACCGUGGAGGGUCAUUGGAAACUGGAGAACUUGAGUACAGAAGAGGAAAGCGGAAUUCCACAUGUAGCGGUGAAAUGCGUAGAGAUGUGGAGGAACACCAGUGGCGAAGGCGGCUUUCUGGUCUGUAACUGACGCUGAGGCGCGAAAGCGUGGGGAGCAAACAGGAUUAGAUACCCUGGUAGUCCACGCCGUAAACGAUGAGUGCUAAGUGUUAGGGGGGUUUUCCGCCCCCCUUAGUGCUGCAGCUAACGCAUUAAGCACUCCGCCUGGGAGUACGGCCGCAAGGCUG
Molecule: ribosomal RNA, 374 nt
Filed under: uncultured organism
Description: partial 16S ribosomal RNA
Rfam family: Bacterial small subunit ribosomal RNA
Source: RNAcentral